RNAcentral lists this transfer RNA (95 nucleotides) under Emergomyces pasteurianus Ep9510. RNAcentral describes it as "Emergomyces pasteuriana Ep9510 tRNA". It matches the Rfam family "tRNA". From Rfam's summary of the family: Transfer RNA (tRNA) molecules are approximately 80 nucleotides in length. Their secondary structure includes four short double-helical elements and three loops (D, anti-codon, and T loops). Further hydrogen bonds mediate the characteristic L-shaped molecular structure. tRNAs have two regions of fundamental functional importance: the anti-codon, which is responsible for specific mRNA codon recognition, and the 3' end, to which the tRNAs corresponding amino acid is attached (by aminoacyl-tRNA synthetases). tRNAs cope with the degeneracy of the genetic code in two manners: having more than one tRNA (with a specific anti-codon) for a particular amino acid; and 'wobble' base-pairing, i.e. permitting non-standard base-pairing at the 3rd anti-codon position. Lineage: Eukaryota; Fungi; Ascomycota; Eurotiomycetes; Onygenales; Ajellomycetaceae. The record is from Rfam by way of RNAcentral.
GGCGCGAUGGCGGAGUGGUUAUCGCGAGAGACUAGAACCAUCUUCUGACUAAUCUCUUCCCUUCGGGGGCGUAGGUUCGAAUCCUGCUCGCGUCG